CCCUUAGAUGUUCUGGGCGGCCCGCGCACUACAUUGGCACUCUCAAUAAGUUCCUAGAUCUAAAACUUUGGGGUAUUCUAUUAAGUGGUGUCGUGACUGGGAUUAACCCUUGCAAUUAUUGGUUACGAACGAGGAAUUCCUUGUAAUCGCGGUUUAUCAGCCCGCGUUGAAUGCGUCCCUGCCCUUUGUACACACCGCCCGUCGCUCCUACCGAUUGAGCGAUCCGGUGAAUGUUUUGGACUGGCGUCAGAAGCGGUUCGCUCCUGACACUACGAAAUUUUGUAAACCUUAUCGCUUAGAGGAAGGAAAAGUCGUAACA
This 319-nucleotide ribosomal RNA is filed under the name uncultured eukaryote. RNAcentral's name for it is "partial 18S ribosomal RNA". It matches the Rfam family "Eukaryotic small subunit ribosomal RNA", at positions 1470 to 1796 of the family's 1831-position model. The record is from RNAcentral.